This 802-nucleotide ribosomal RNA is filed under the name Segatella copri. Its description in RNAcentral is "bacterial SSU rRNA". It matches the Rfam family "Bacterial small subunit ribosomal RNA", at positions 1 to 786 of the family's 1533-position model. The record is from RNAcentral. Lineage: Bacteria; Pseudomonadati; Bacteroidota; Bacteroidia; Bacteroidales; Prevotellaceae.
UUUUACAAUGGAGAGUUUGAUCCUGGCUCAGGAUGAACGCUAGCUACAGGCUUAACACAUGCAAGUCGAGGGGAAACGACAUCGAAAGCUUGCUUUUGAUGGGCGUCGACCGGCGCACGGGUGAGUAACGCGUAUCCAACCUGCCCACCACUUGGGGAUAACCUUGCGAAAGUAAGACUAAUACCCAAUGACGUCUCUAGAAGACAUCUGAAAGGGAUUAAAGAUUUAUCGGUGAUGGAUGGGGAUGCGUCUGAUUAGCUUGUUGGCGGGGUAACGGCCCACCAAGGCGACGAUCAGUAGGGGUUCUGAGAGGAAGGUCCCCCACAUUGGAACUGAGACACGGUCCAAACUCCUACGGGAGGCAGCAGUGAGGAAUAUUGGUCAAUGGACGAGAGUCUGAACCAGCCAAGUAGCGUGCAGGAAGACGGCCCUAUGGGUUGUAAACUGCUUUUAUAAGGGAAUAAAGUGAGUCUCGUGAGACUUUUUGCAUGUACCUUAUGAAUAAGGACCGGCUAAUUCCGUGCCAGCAGCCGCGGUAAUACGGAAGGUCCGGGCGUUAUCCGGAUUUAUUGGGUUUAAAGGGAGCGUAGGCCGGAGAUUAAGCGUGUUGUGAAAUGUAGACGCUCAACGUCUGCACUGCAGCGCGAACUGGUUUCCUUGAGUACGCACAAAGUGGGCGGAAUUCGUGGUGUAGCGGUGAAAUGCUUAGAUAUCACGAAGAACUCCGAUUGCGAAGGCAGCUCACUGGAGCGCAACUGACGCUGAAGCUCGAAAGUGCGGGUAUCGAACAGGAUUAGAUACC